ACUCAGGGUGGGGGCUGGGUUCAAUUUGUUGCUAUACUACAGAUUUCCUGUGUGACCCUGGGCAAGUCACUUAGUCUUUCUGUGCCUCAGUGCCCCAUCUGUAAAAUGAGAAUAGCACUGCCCUAUCUUAUAGAUGUGUAGUGCAAAU
This 148-nucleotide small nucleolar RNA is filed under the name Chrysemys picta bellii (western painted turtle). Its description in RNAcentral is "Small nucleolar RNA ACA59 (ENSCPBG00000014983.1)". Lineage: Eukaryota; Metazoa; Chordata; Testudines; Emydidae. The record is from RNAcentral.